AUACGGAGGGUGCAAGCGUUGUUCGGAAUCACUGGGCGUAAAGGGCGCGCAGGCGGUUUGGUAAGUCAGAUGUGAAAGCCCACGGCUCAACCGUGGAAGUGCAUUUGAAACUGCCAGACUUGGGUAACAGAGGGGAAAGUGGAAUUCCCGGUGUAGAGGUGAAAUUCGUAGAUAUCGGGAGGAAUACCGGUGGCGAAGGCGACUUUCUGGCUGGAUACUGACGCUGAGGCGCGAAAGCGUGGGGAGCAAACAGGAUUAGAUACCCUAGUAGUCC
Molecule: ribosomal RNA, 274 nt
Filed under: uncultured bacterium
Lineage: Bacteria
Description: partial 16S ribosomal RNA
Rfam family: Bacterial small subunit ribosomal RNA
Source: RNAcentral